This 28637-nucleotide long non-coding RNA is filed under the name Triticum aestivum (bread wheat). RNAcentral describes it as "long non-coding RNA (TAES_LNC009557)". The record is from RNAcentral. Lineage: Eukaryota; Viridiplantae; Streptophyta; Magnoliopsida; Poales; Poaceae.
CUAUAAAAGUGAAUUUUGCGUCUUCUGCUUGUUCUGUUUCUGGUGGAAUUUGGUUGAGAGCUUUGCUCUAGUAGAGGAGAAAAUCCUAGUGGAUUACCUAAUGUUUAUCCGAGUCGUUUUGUGAUUGCACUUGCCAUGUUUACCAUCAGAGUGUUGCUGGUUAUGCCGACUGGAGCUUAAUAUUUGUAAAAUGUUACCAGUCUCUUGAAUUAUGUGUGUAUUGUAGAGGGCCUCAAAAGUCAUAUUUGUAAGUGUAACUGGUUUGGAGUAGAUGAUGUCCUGCGCGUUGCCAAAUUUCAUUUCAAGAAUGUGAGAAAUAGUUGGGCCUGAUUGCAAUAGUAUUUGUAAUCGUAGUACAUUUCAUUUGCAAUCAUACAGCUGAUGCCUGCUGCAAUCAUUCGGAUCAGGCUACUAAAUUCUUUGAAAUCAUUUGCUGAUGCCUGUUGCAACUGUGAUGCCUCACUGUCAUGUGUCGCCGUGACUUGCUAACCAAAUUGGUUUGUGUCAAUUUCGUAAACUUGCAGGCUUAUAGAAUUAGAAAUACUACUGUAUUAGAUACCCUCACUGUCAUGGGCUUUCUAUUAUUAGUCAAGUAGUAUGUUUAGAAUCUUGUUGGGAGAGUAAAGCUUUGCUUUCAGUUUUUUCUUGUAUGUGGGGAUUGCUACUGCUCAUACAGGAGAAAAUUGAUAACUACUAUGUCAUUGUGUACUCCCUCCGUGCCAAGUGUAAUGUCAAGUUUAGAUUGGUCAAUAUGGUUCUCGUUUUCAAAUUUUUUACAUGCUCUCAUUUUUUGUGUGGGUAAUGUUUUAUAUGCUCUUUAUCUCUUCCCUUGACAGACAUUCGACGAGGCAGUGGGCGAUAUAGCUUUCUAGCUCCUUAGGGGGGUUGUUCCUCUUUACAGGUGUGUUAAACAGGGUUUUAUGUGGUCAUAUGGAGUUUAUUAGGUAGAGAAAGUACCUUGUGAUUUUUCUAAUUUUGGACAUAUUUGUGUGAAUUCUUGCUGCAAUAAUACAAACUGUGUUGAUGUAUGUCAAAUAUAUGGUCAGAUUAGCCUAUAUUAGUAUAUGUGUUGAUUGAUUAAAGUGUUAUGACAACAAUGCAUGACAGCAGUAUGUGCAUGAAGUGCUUGACAAUUAACCUUAAAAUUUAUGUUGUGAAAUAGAUGGAAAAUGAAAAGGCUAAUUGGGAUGCACAUCACAUAAGUGGAGACACUAAUUUUGUUUGACUUGUGGAGGCUCUAAUCCUCAGGGAUCAUGGCUAAAAGAAAUUUGCCAUGUUGCAAAAAGAAAAGAAAUUUGCCAUGGUGCAUAUAGUAAAAACAAUGCCAUGAUCUGUAAAAUACAUUUGUCAUUCUUUCUGUGUUUGUACAGACUUGCUAAACUAUUGAUGAUUUUUUGUUGGGUGACAUAUUAUAUCUGGAAUGGAAGCUCACAUAAGUUGAGCUGAUUUUUGUCCAUAUGAAAGCAGAGGACCAUAUGGUCUGUGGCUGGGUUUUGUCUCCGACCGUCGUGUCGUGAUGAUUUUGCAGGUACCCCGAGAGGCCCUUGAGUUUGCCGGAAUGUCGAUUAACUUCCGUUCCGGCAAAUUCGGGUACUCCAUAUGUCCUAUUUUCAGCAAAGGUCAUGCUGAAAUUUUCCGUGAAUUUUAGCAUGACUUUGCUAAAAAUUGGACAUAUGAGGUACUUGCUACUAAUGCAUGGGCCGGGGUAUAUUAGUACUUAAUUAAGUAGGAUCAACUGUCCCUUUAUUCUUGCUGCAUUAAACCAUAUGUGGCAGUAGAGCCAAGUGAUUAGGCCCAACUUAGAAUUCUCCUCAACAUCGAUAAACCCUAGAUGAUGAAAACUUAACUUAGCAUUUAGGGUGCCUCGGCAUCGAUAAACCCUAAAUGAUGAAAACUUAACUUGGCUGCCCCGGAUGCCUCGCUGUCGAUGAGAACCUAAAUGAUGUACGCUUAGGCUUUUAGGGUGCCUCGGCGUCGACAAACCCUAAAUGAUGAAAGCUUAGGCUUUUAGGGUGCCUCGGUGUUGACAAAUCCUAAAUGAUGAGACCAUGAUCUUGUUCCUUGACAAUAACCAACUUUUUGACCAAACUUUUUUCCUAUUUAGAGCGAAACAUGGCCCACAAUGAUGAGGCCGGUGGUUCGGGCGGCAAGCCAUUCUGGGAGCUGUCCCAGGAGAUGGAGGAACAACCUCACUGCUAUGAGGACGCCGUGGAAGACACCGAUCCUAAUUACACAACCCCUAGUGGCAUCGGGGAUGACACCACUGAUGGUGCCGCCGAGGAUGCCACCACUGAUGAUGGCGGCGCACACACAGAUGCAGCCAACCGAAGAAGCAAAAUAAGGACCGGCGCCCGAAUGCGCUCCGCGCCCUCAAGGAGGAAUUCACUCAAGUGGACUCUGACGGGAAUCCAACGGAGCCCAAACAUAUAGUCAAGGGGUACUCACUUCAGCUCGGGUGCAUUCUCCGGAGCACCGUCUCGAUCAACACCGAGAACCUUAGGCAUAAGGACCGAGGGAAUUUGCGCAACCUCCUCUUCAUGAAGCUGCACGAACGAUACAAGUUCCCCGCCGAAUUUGAAAACACACGCCUCUCGGGAAUAAAGUGAACAGUGCCGCCCUCACGAAGAUGAGCACGGCCCUGUCUACUUGGAGAAGCGCGGUGAAGAGAAUGAUUGAUAAAGGUGAUAGUUAUGACAAGAUCAAGGCGAAAUAUCCUUUGAUGAGCGAAGAUGACUACAAGGAGUUCAAGAUCAAGUGCGAGAGCCCCGAAUCCUCCGAAUCAAGUCAGUGGGGGAAAGAAAUGCGGGAGUUGAACUUAGGGGAACACAAACUCGGUCCCGGCGGUUACAGAGUGGCGGAGCCUAUAUGGGACAAGGAGGACGCGGAGCAUGCCGAGCAAGGCCUACCGCCCCGCUUCGAGAAAUACAGCGGUGACAAGAAGACCAGGAACUAUGUCAGGGCCCGGUACAAGGAGGACCCGAUAACAAAGGAGCUUACCACGGAUCCGAAGACCAGGGCACUUGAGCUUCUUCUGGUAAGGAAUACAACCCCGCGUAAUUAGCUCCAUAUGGUGGCACUCUAAUUAAUCCCCAAUAUUUCUAAAUGGUUCACGUUCCUUUCGCAGGACAAGGAAAGCAGUAUCGCGGGGUCGUCUCAGAGCUCCCCUUUCGACAUCCCUUUAAAUAGGGCGUUGAACGUGAUGAAAAACAAGGAUAAGCUCACUAAGCCGACGUCAGCUGGUCGUGUGGCAGGCAAAGGCUUGUCCACAAAAUGGGGGUCAUACUAUACGCUGGUGUGCGGAAGGAGAAAAAGACCAGCUCGGAAAGCCAGACGCGCGAGGUUGAAGAACUCAAGGCACAAGUGGCACGGAUUCCGGAGCUUGUCCAAGAGCAAGUGCAACAACAACUUGGAACGACGCUCAACGCCAUGGUGCCUACGUUGAUUCAUGGGCUGACGACGUGGAUUGCGGGCGGCCAACAGGGGCCUCCCCCGGUUCCCAGCUUCACGGCCAGCAACUCGCACAGCGUGCAGGCGGCGCCAUUGGUGUCUCCGGCGGAGGCGGUAUUCGUGUCUCCGGCGCUGGCACAGGCAUUGGAGCUUAAUGCACCCGGGUGUACGCCGGCCGGCACCUCGCCAGCAAGCGCCCCCUCCGUCAGUUGCACGCCCGCUGUUGGCGGUGCCUCGACAUUAGCCGAGCUCGACGGCAUCACGGUAACUAAGCCUCUCGGCCGAUGACUUCAUCUCCUUGCCUUUGACUGGGCAUCCCUGACGCCCUGUACAUGUUUUCGCAGGGCACCGCCGACGUUCCUCGCACUCUUCUGCACUUCGUGGGCGCCGAGUUGGUCGAUGUCGCCAAGGGCAGAAUCGUUCAACUGGGCAACCCCAUGUUCCAGGGUAAUCCGAUGCCACCCACAAUGUAUAGGGUUGAAGUGGUCCGGGUGCUGCCAGGCUGCGACGAGCUGUUACCUCCGAUUCGACCCGCUGGGGCCGACGAAGAAGAUGAGAUGACCCUCGGCACCUGCGUAAACUGGCCCCUGCUUUGGCCGAAGAGCCAGAUUCAUUUGGGGGCGGGGGACACCACCCCUCAGACAAGACCGCCAGUCGUGCCGGCACCAAGACAUGGCAAGAACGCCGCAACGCUACUGGACCUGCCGGACAUCCCUAUAGCACAGGAUCCGGACAGCCCUAUGUCACAGGAUCCGGACGGCGACGACAACGACGACGGUACAUUUACCAAAGUUGAUAAGUACUUUGCCGAACAUGGGUACGCUGACGAGUUCUGCGAGCCUCUUUCUCAAGAACCCAACCAAGACGACCGCGAUCUAGCUGGUACGGCGGAGAAAUCCAAUUGCAACAGGCGUCGUCUGGCGUUCAGUUCUCAGGACACGCCUCCAGCUCCCGCCUUCACCGAGCCUCAGAUAGCUGAGGUGCGAAAUAUUAUCAGCCCCAACACGCUGAAGAAGGCGGUCUGUGAGCAGAACUCGGUCCCAUUACAGGAGAUCAAGAAGAAGGGACGGAAACGAAAGACUAACAAGGGCGCCGGUGCGAGCCAGCCGGCAGCGAGUUCGAUCCAUGCUCAGGACGGGCCACCUUCACCUAAGGAUAUCUCGAGGAGGGUGCAUGUGGCGGGUAGGGCGAUGCUACCGCCAAAUAUGCUGAAUGCUGCAACCGGUGCUAUGCGGAGUCUGCACGACAGUGUUCUUUCUUUGGAGAAGCGGUGUCUCAGAGAGAAGGAUGUGGCAUACCCGGUUUUCGUGGCCAAGGUGCCAGAGAGAAAGGGCUUUGUGGAUGGCGACAUCGGGGGUACGAUCGUCCUGCGGUUUGAUGACAUAUUUGCUAUGUUUAACCUUCAUCCGCUGCACUACACCUUCGUUCGGCUGUUUUCGCUGAGCAUGCAGAUGCGGAUCAUUAGAGACAAGACCCCGGACAUCAUGAUAGUCGACCCCUUCUACAUGCGUGCCAAGCACUUGAGCAGCGGUGGGGACCGCCAAGUUGCGAGUUCACACCUCGAAGGCGUCAUUCUGGCAAACACAGAUAAGGAUAACUUCCUUGUGGCUUACUUUCCCGAGUAAGUCAUCCCUUAACCGCCCCGUAACAUAUGAUUUCUUAGAUUUCGAUCGUUCUUUUUUUUUGUAACAUUCCGUGUUCUGUGCAGUGACACACAUUGCACACUCAUCCUCUUAAGCUCGAAAUAUUCCAUGGCCACGUAUUUCGACCCGAACCGUAACUCCAAGAUAGACUACACAAAUGUCAAGAAAGUUCUUGAUGAUGUUCUCCCCGGCUACGCCAAAUCUGGAGGCACCUUCACCAGGCCAGUUCGUAAGUACGACAAGCACAUGUUUUCACACAAUACGAAGUUCUGCUGCGUCAAGCAGCCGCCUGGCGGUCAGAAGGAUGCCUACUACGCCCUCCAUCACAUGCGGGCGAUCGUAAGGGACCAUCAUCACCUUCUGCUACCAGAUAAUCUCAAAGAUUGGGCCACGAGCUUGUCGGCAGUCCAGGACGCGGACCUCAGACAAGAAUUCUUUCGCAUCCAGUCGGAGUUUGCGGACAUCAUCCAUCAAGAUGUCCUUCAUACCGCGGGGCAGUUCUUCCUCAGAUAUCAACCGUCCAAUAGUGAGAUAGAUGAAACGCUACAAAUGCAGGGUGACAACGACCGUGAUUUCAUGACCAUCACGACAGACGGCGGCUUCACCCACGCUCCUGUCCGAUGAGUCGAGUCGAAAGUAGUGAUGUGUAGUUCUGAAACAUUGAUUGGCUCAUGUUGUAAUUAAACUUUAAUGAAUUCGUAUGUCUCUUUGGUUUGGACAGUUGUUCAACUUAGAUGUAAUCGAUGCUAUUUAUUAGUAGGACUAUGAAUCGUGCUAUUAAUGUCUUGCUUUUCUCUUCUGAUCCUUUUGUUGCAUACUUACAUAUUGCUUAUGUAUUGUCUGUUGUUUGGCUUGUGCAUAGAGAUGCCGUCGUAUGUCGUGUACAAGGGUAAGGUUCCCGGAGUCUACGAUGACUGGGAGGAGCGUCGGAGACGGGUUCACCGUUUCAGCGGUAACAGUUACAAAGGGUACACCACUAGGGCGGAGGCCAAAUCUAGAUACGCACGCUAUCUAGUGGGAGAGAGGUGGGAGCGUUGGAGGAACCGAAUGAAGACCAGUUUGAUCGCGAUGAUGCUCAUCGUGAUGACCACAGCUCUCUUCUAUGUGAUGGUAGUUUAGAUGAUCGAUAUCGACUUGUAAUGUGAAGACAAACUCGAUACUCGCGGUCUUGAGACUUGUAAUGUUUUAUCUUUGUUCGGUCUUUUGAAUUCGGAGACUAAUAUGAUGAAUUGUAUUCGGAGACUAAUCUUCUAUUGUAUUCGAUGAAUCUGAUGUUGCUGUGUGCUGCUGUCUAUAUUCUGUCUAAUAAUAUAUUUUAUAUUCUGUCUAAUAAUAUAUUUUGUAACCGGCGCAAAAAUCAGAAAAGGAAAAAAAACAAAUAUUCAUACUAAUGGCGCAUCACCAUCUGGUGCGCCAUUAGUAUGCCAAAGGAUACUAAUGGCGCAUCAGAGGACAAUGCGCCAUUAGUAUGACAAAGCCAUGCUUACAUAUGCCCCCCCCCCCGAGAGGCACACUAAUGGCGCAUGCUGUUACAUACUAAUGGCACACUGGCAGGUGCGCCAUUAGUAUACCAGAUACUAAUGACACACCUUUGGUGUGCCAUUAGUAAGAUAUACUAGUGGCGUGCUACUAAUGGCGCACUGGUAAUGCGCCAUUAGUAGGCAAAACCAGUGCGCCAUUAGUAGGCUUUUUCCUAGUAGUGCUUGACGGACCGUCAAAUACUUGGCGUCUAGCCGAGACGAGGCGCCAACCACCUCGCCCAGGCCAAUGUGAGUGUGCGUCAGUUUUUACAUUGAGUGCGCACCCACCAUGACGGACAGGUCCUUAGCAUAUAGGUCCAUGGCGUCGCCUGCGUACAGGUCACCCUUUGGUGUAGCACCAGCCCAAGGCGACGUGGCCUCUACAACGCCACCUUUCCACGGCCUCGAGAGGCGGCCCCCUUUGUCUUGGCGGACCGCCGAAUACUCGGCGUCUAGCCGAGACGGGAUGCCAACCACCCCGGCCAUGCCCAUGUGAACGAGCAUUAGUUUUUACACUGAUGCCGGUCUCCCCAAACCAUUACUCCCGCAAGGUGUACCCCCUUGCACACCCCGAUGAAGUAACCGGCCGUCGAGAAGUCUAAGCCAAGCGCGACCAAUGCCACCCCGACAACAAAUAUUCCAACGCUGCCAAGACCGACGAGGCACAACGGUCUGAGGUCUACAUCGACGAGCUCGCAUUUUCGUCAUCUUCAAGCAACGCCGCCACCCGACGACACGCGAAUCUACUCCAACUUCUACAUCAACACACUCCCCCAAUCCUGUCCAAGCUCCGACGAGGCGAAGCCACUUCACCGACAUGUCUCCUUUCGAUGAAGCUAUCCAUAUCUAGCCGGGCACCGACGAGGCGAAGGCAAGACACACCGUGUCUGACACCGACGAGGCGGACACCACCAGGCCGAGCACCGACGAGGCGAAGGCCGACCAUCUGUCUGAGCUGACGAGGCCAGACAUCUUCAUCAUCGGACAUCGACAAGCCAGAGGGAUGUGACUAAGCAUCGUUGGAGCGACGGACGUACCGCUCCACUCUUCUAUUCCACCAUAUCAUCACCAUCAUCUACACCGAGCACUUGGAGAAGACGAGACUUGAAGACGACGACCAUUGCAGCAGCUUAAUCGGAGGUGGUCCGCGACUUUGACUCGCAGAUGUAAUUAAUCGGGAGCCUUCCGAGGCCCCGUGAACCAGAACCUCACAUCGCCCAAGUCAUAUCGGCCGUGCUAGCAGGCCAUGGAGCGCUUAUGUAAUGGAAGCUUGUAAUUUUGUUUCUCCAAUGAGAGAUUAAUAAAGUGCAAAUUUACCUAUCUUUUAUUUCUGUACUUAGUACACUGGCAGCGCGUAGAGAGAUAAUAACACGAUAACCAUCGUUGUUUGUUAUUAUUUUUCGUGUCAAACAUUUUUUUUCAAAAAUCGUCAUAUAAAAAAUUUAAUUUUGAGACGAAGCUUCACUUUAUAAAGAAAGUUAUUUCGGUAUUUGAUUGUUCAAAAUCAUCCUCUUAUAGGAGAGCUAACAGGAAAAAUUCAUUGGCAGACAAAGACCACUUAACUGAAUCUUAGUCAUGGAGAGAACAGCAUCGUCACAAGUAGUUUGGAUACAGUUCCAUGUUUGCAAAGUAUGUCCCGAAAGUGUCCUUGUAAAUUGACUGGUUCCCAGCUAUUUGUAAGAAACUCACCAACAGAGACACCUUUUGCUAAAGCAAAUGCCGUGCAGCCUGGGAUAAGAUUGGUUAGAAACUUAGAACCUGGUUGUUUAUAAAUUUGACAUUGGUGAACUCAAUUAUCAUUUCAAGCAGGACCUGGUUGUUUCAGACUUGCUACUUUACACAGUACCAUUCUGAUUCAUUAGGGAGUGUCGGUGUACCUAAUCUAACAUUCUUAAGAAGUUGAUCCCCACUACUACCAAUUCUCUCAACAUGCACACUAUCCACAUCAUCAUCAAGCCACCUCAUCANNNNNNNNNNNNNNNNNNNNNNNNNNNNNNNNNNNNNNNNNNNNNNNNNNNNNNNNNNNNNNNNNNNNNNNNNNNNNNNNNNNNNNNNNNNNNNNNNNNNNNNNNNNNNNNNNNNNNNNNNNNNNNNNNNNNNNNNNNNNNNNNNNNNNNNNNNNNNNNNNNNNNNNNNNNNNNNNNNNNNNNNNNNNNNNNNNNNNNNNNNNNNNNNNNNNNNNNNNNNNNNNNNNNNNNNNNNNNNNNNNNNNNNNNNUGAUUAAACCCCGGUAAUUAAUUGAAGGGGCAUGUUCCGUCCUCCAUUACCAAUAAACCGGUGUAAAAACUCAUAAAAGAAGCCCAUCGGUCCAUCUCUUCGUAUCCACUUUUCCUUAUAUGUAUCCUGGCAGAGUAGGCGACACCCUCGACCCGCACCUACGCAGUAAUGGACGGCGCCCUAUAACCCAGCCAGCUAGCCCUCUGGCAUUCAGCUAAGGUCGCUCCGGCAAGAUCCUGUGUGCGUCUUCUCAAGAUUUGUUAAUCAACCUGAAUGAAGCCUCGCCGUCGACGUGUAUCUCCUGCUGUAAUUACAUGUAUCGGACAUCGCAAAUUUCAAGGCCUCUCCGUCGCCACUUAACCGUCAUGGCCACCUGCUCAGCGAAUCUGAAAUCAUUGUCGUCUACGUUCAUCUCCUGCUGGUACUACAUGUACUAGAAAGGGUGAAUUUCGAGCCCUUGCAGUCGGCACUGCACCAUCGUGGCCGGUUCUGAACCCCUCUAUAGGUACACAUUCGGACCUUCCUCUGUUACCAGCUCUUCUCACUCCUUGAGCAUGAUGAUGAGUUCAUUAAUCCCCAAUCUAUGGACUCUUGCAUCUUGCUUUCUACCCAUUGAAUUUGUUUAUGUACCAGAAUUAGAUUCAGGGCGUUUGGAUUAAUGGGUGGAACCGGUCAAUUUUUUUCCAUUCGCAAUUAAUUGGCUACAACAUCGAAGUACACUUGGUUUUUUUUUCUUGGAGCAAGCUAUAAGCUGCAGGUUGCACUACUGUUGAUCUUUUUUGAAACUGGUCGAUGGAUGAUGCUUUGGCGAGGCCUGUCGCUCAUCUUGAUCUGCCACCUCCAAUUCUCUGUCAGGUUUGAUAUAAAUUCAGAUAGCUAUGUUUAUGAUCAUCCAUUUCCAAUUUCUCAGGUUUGAUCUAUAUUCAGAUAGCUAUAUUUAUGCGGAAUUUGACUCUUCGCUAUAUCAAUGCCCACAACAUGUUGUGUCUACCAGUAGUAGCAGCCGGCUGAAGCGUCAAGUUUGUCAGGAGAAGGAGCACUGUUGUCACAAGGGAUUUCACGACAUAUAAAAUGCAGUCAACUACUGCCGAAAAUAUAUCGGUGUAAUGACUAAGCCUCUAAUGCAUAAUUUUAAACAUAUGACCUCUCAAUAAGUGGUUGACCCUCGAAUCUGCAUUCACCCUCACUAGUUAAGGGCGCUCCACUACUAUAGAUUGACCCUAUGAUGGUUGUUGCUUAACAUCCUCCAAUAAUGAUUAAGCCACUCAUUAUGAUUAAGCCUCUCAUUAGUGAGCAAAUGUCGGAGGUUAUCUAUAAUUGUACUAGUUUGCAUGCUAUAUUUCUAUAAUUUAGUGCAAUAUUUAAAUUUUAUUUGGACUAUCCUAUUAAUAAAGGCCCAGUGUGAGUUUCUAUUUUUAAUGUUUUAGUUUUAGGACAAUUUGAUAUUCUGGGAAAGUAAAAAUAAAAAUAUGAGGGAAGUUUAAGGCAUAUCCUAGUAUGAGUGAGGCUUAAGGCAUUGCGUCCUUGUAUCCAUAAACCAUUGUCUAAGUGCAUCUAUAGCUAAUACUCCAACCAAAAUAGCUAUCCAGCAUGCAUAUCUAAGUAUUAAGUAAAAACAGAGUAUUGGCAUUAAGCAAAGUGACAUAAUGUUGAUAAUAUAUUCUCUUUACCUCCUCCAGUUCAUGACCUAGACAAUUAGGAACCAAUGUUAUUUAUCGUUGGUGGCAAUAACAUGAUACAAGCCUUUUUCCUCAUUUAACCCCUGAGACAGAUUACUUGCAAGGCUAAACCCAACUAUCAUACACAACUCCCUCUUGGAGAUCAUUUAUCUAAACAUGGUCAAUAUAAGACUAAUAGAUCAAAGAGCAUGUAUGUCUAUAAGUCACGCAACAAAGAACUCAAAAGAAUAAAAAAUAAACCAUAUAUUGAUAUAAUCAUAAAGUGACAAUUUAACACACCACAACAAACACACCGAGAAUUACAUCAUUUGGAUCACAAUCAUGUAAGGUAGUUCAUGUGAUCUUUGUAUUGAGAAGCAAGGGAGAGAGGAUGACAUCUAUCUACUAUUAUAUAUGGACCAAUAGCCCAGGAAUUAGCCCCCAACUUUCAGGAUAAAACACUGCCGACGGCGCUGGAGCACGUCCUCGACUCGCCACCGAGGGAGGUGUUGGUCGUCGCAAUCGCCUCACAGCCACCACAGAGGAGUUGUGGAUGUUCAUUGGAAACGUAUUGUCAUGGCGGCGGCACAAUUGACAUUCGAUGGCGUCCUUGUCACCAUCACCAAGCUCAUCUUGCCCCUCAGUCGCCUCCUCGCCUAUCCGACAAUCUACUAUCCGCGGCGUGGUGCCAUUUCAUCUUGAUACUUUUUACUUCAAAGAGGUUUGUUGAAAAUACUCGAACUGUCACUAAUCGUUAUUAUAAGAAUCGCAGUCUUCUUGCUAAUAAAAUUUCAGAACCGACCAAAAAACAAUGUUGUUCUCUUGCAUAUUCAGUAUUUACACCUCUUUCACGACUGCGGUCUUCAACUCGAGUGCGUUGGGUACGUGCACCUCAUUGCCCUUUUUUUUGUAGCUGUGCACCUUGUUUACAAUGUAGAAGCUAGGCAUUUCAGCAAACAGGCAAGUGCGUGAAAAACACCGUAGCAGCGGCUGGCUCCAUUUGAUUGAUUCAUUUCCUCCAUCCAUGGAACCUGCAAUACAUCCAUAGAAGAGAAGGGAAAGGAAAUAGACAGUACCAUUCAGAGAAGAUAGCUAGCAUGCCGUACUCCAUUCAGGGAACGGGAUGAAAUACGAUUGUUCCACCGGAAAGAAAGAGAGAGAGGACCGCACCGUCGCCGGGGCCUUGGGGCUGCCCGGCGUGCGCCUGGGGUAUGCCGAUGUCGCUGGAUGCUCGGAGCCGUGCCGCGCCGGGGUUAUGCCGAAUUGCCGAGGUUGGCGGGUGUCGAACGCACAGCCUGGAUGGAGGCGGAAGGCGGCCUCUCUGAGGCUCCAUCAUAGGACGGUUCAGCAGCACCAGGACGUGGUAGGACGUUUCGGGCGUCAGGAUGAGCUCGCUCGAUGGUCAUGCUGCAUGGACGCGCCCCCGCGCCGGAUGACGGCGGUGGCGGGUGGAGAACAGAGGUUUGAUGAACGUCUCUCAAUUUUCCUAGCUUGUCUGCAGAACUGACCAUGAGUUUAACCAGUAAACAACCACAUGAAUCAUCAAUCAACAGAAAAGUAUCAGAGACAUUUUGUUCCCAAAACGUGCAUCAUUGGCAGCCAGAGACCAUUUAACUGAAUCUCUACGAGUGGACUGUACAAAAUCCUCACAACUAGCUUGGAUGAUGUUCCAAAGUUACCUGAGAUAAGGAUGUAAAAGGUUAUCUCAAUCACCAAAGGGAACCAGGUUGUUUCAGGCUUGAUACUGUACACAAGACCAUUAUAAUUCAUUCAUUAGGGAGUGUGAGUGCAUCUAAUCUGGAAUGUAGAGGCUAGGCAUUUCAGCAAACAGGACAAGUGCGUGGAAAACACCCUAGCGGCUCGUUGGUUCCACUGGAUUGAUUCACUUCACCUCCUCCAUAGUUGUAGCCUGCACUGCAUCUGCAUCUGCAGAAGAGAAGGGGAUGGAAAUUUAGAGACAGUACCCAGGUAGCUAGCAGGCCGUCGUACUCCCUUCAGAGAAGGGGAUGAAAUACGAGCAGUUCCAUCAGGAAUGAAGAGAGAGGAACGCACCGUCCCCUAGGGGUCGCCGGGUGCUGGGAGCCGUGCCGCGCCGGGGUUAUGCCGAGGUAUGCGAGCGUCGAACUCACCGCCCGGGCAGAGCCGGAAGGCUGCCUCGUUGGAGCUCCCUCGUGGGACGGUUCUGCAGCGCCAGGACGGAGGUGGACGUUUCGCCGCGCGAUGUAGAUGGCCGCGACGCGUGGAGGCGCCACGCCGGAGGUCGCCGGUGGUGUUAGGAGAAACAGAGGCGUCGGCAUGGUGGCGGAAGGGAGCGUUGAGCGGAAACAGCGGAGGUUUUGACAAAUGCCUCAGCUGUUGUGACAAUAUCUUUGCGAAUCAGUGUGUUUCAUUCUAUUUUCCCAACUGGUAAUGUUUAAAUUUGAGGACAAUCUUGCAUUUUGUGCUCCACUGGCUUGUUUGGCUGCAGUUCCACUUCAGAUACUGCUAAGAUAACCACAGUUAGCCCUAGGUAUCCCUCGCCUCCAAGCAAUGAAUUGCUUGUGAUGGCUUUUCUCUCAAGUCCGAACAUGCAAGUGAGCUGUUUCUGAAUGUUCUCGUUCCCGAAAUAUGCAAGUAGCAAGUAAGCUGUUUCUGAACCAGCAGUGCACUGGAGUUUCUCCUGAAGCCAUAAUCUCCUUGCACUUCCUAUUGUUCAGUACUAGAGUCCACUGAUAAAUCGAGUUCUAUUCAGGAGUGUUCGAAAACCAGCUAAUCCGAGAUAUCGUUGGAUCAACAUGAAAACUGAGUGAACGAUGAACACAAUUUAUUCCUGAAAUAGGCAGCCCCUUACACCUCCACAGGGCUGGCUUACUUGGUUGUAGAUAAAGAAUAGUCCCCUGUAAAAGAUUCCACAUCAUUUUUGACUCUUUCUUCCCCUAUCCUCCUGUGCCUACAUGAUCGAUGUGAUUUUGCCUUGAAACCAGACAAGGUGAAAAAUUCAUGCCACCAAGUUUCUUGCAUAGUCUUAGCACGUGGUAGAUGAUAUUGGAAUAUUUUAGAGAGUUUUGGCACAACUAAAGAUGGGAUAAUAGAUGAAGAUCCUUCUGUGUCGGUGAUGAAUGAAAAUGUUCAGAUGUAUAUAUGUAGCCCUCAGUGUUCUUAUGAAGUGGAGGUGCUGCUGGUUUCUAAGCUAGUUGUUAUGUAGGCUAAGUGAUAGAGCUAUAACUUCUUUUUUGCGGGGAGUAGAGAUAUAACUUCAAUAUCAGCUGCUACCGGUACCCUUUCUACACUUGAUUUGUGUUUUUUUUAACAUUUACCUCCCCCCUCAAAAGAUAUUGCAAAUAAGUUCCAAGAUACUGUUUCCGGAAUCCUUCGUCAAAAUAGUUGUUGUGCCCUUGAUAUCAACACUACAGGCCUUCUAGCUGCUUGGUGUUGUAGUGUCAUCUUUGCUAAACAAUUGAUUAUAGUUGCAUUUGAUUUGUUUUAGAUGCACCUGAAACCAAUGAGCCAUAAAAAUCACGAAAAUGAGUUGUAAUUAAUACACAUAAAUUAGUAAUCCGUUGCAUCUGAGCCUGAGCAAUCAUUUUUACAUAAGAAAUCUAUUGGGUCUAUAUUUGUUUUGUGUCUCAUUGGAUUUUACACUCUCCAUGCUAAAGCUCAAUUGCUACAUGCAUCAAGACGACGAUUCCUUUUGCAAUAGCCUCCUAACUGGUGGUGAUAGAGAUGUCUGCUAGUCCAUCCCACCACCAUACAUUUUUGGAUAGUAAUAAAAUUUUCGGUGGCUAUGGCUCCUCAUUUGUUGUCUUAGGAUCAGCUAAGCAAUUGGAAACAUAUUAUCCAAGCAAUUGGAAACACGAUGAACAUCUAGCGGCGACGUAUGUCGUGUGGGCAGGAGGUAUGGGGUAGCCUGACACGUGGGGCUGUUUGGAUCAUUGCACCCACGGCGCCCUGCCAAAAUAUUGGUAGUUGAAUAGCUCUGGGUGUCCAUUUUGAUGCAAGCUAUACUGAGAGAAAUACAUCAGCCGACAUACAUGCCAAUGGACGGGCAAGAUUUCGGGAGCAUCUGAGCCCGGGCUCAGAGAUGAAUUUUCGUCGAUGCACACAUUAUUUUGAUUGGUGGUAUUCGGAGGAUAGGUGGGACCAAGCUAGAUAGAGUGGUACUACAUGCAUGUGCGAGAGAAGUGCAUAUAUGCAUACCCAUGUGAAAUUAAUUGCCUGAUCGCUUGACUCCAUCCACUCCUCCUCAUCCCCUCUUCAUUUCCAGUAGAAAUAUCACUCACAUAUUCCUAAGGUACACACCGCUUGCAUCUUAUGGUAGAUCCCAUUUAAUUGAAGCGCACACACAACUCCGAGUGAUCCUCCUUGCACAAUACCUUGCUCCUUUCCNNNNNNNNNNNNNNNNNNNNNNNNNNNNNNNNNNNNNNNNNNNNNNNNNNNNNNNNNNNNNNNNNNNNNNNNNNNNNNNNNNNNNNNNNNNNNNNNNNNNNNNNNNNNNNNNNNNNNNNNNNNNNNNNNNNNNNNNNNNNNNNNNNNNNNNNNNNNNNNNNNNNNNNNNNNNNNNNNNNNNNNNNNNNNNNNNNNNNNNNNNNNNNNNNNNNNNNNNNNNNNNNNNNNNNNNNNNNNNNNNNNNNNNNNNNNNNNNNNNNNNNCACCUUCGUAUAUGUUCAUACCUAAAUGUUUCCGGAGGGGGAGUGGGGCUGCAAUUUGUGGCGUUUAUGAACCUUUAGGCAUGGGAGGCAUGGGGCGGGGAAGAGUCACUUGACGUGAAUUUUCUUCUACAGAUAGUAUCCACUAUGUUAAUUAGCUUUUCGGGCAUAGCCAAGUUGAUAGGCUCUAUGCCAUGUGAAUACCAUGUGCUUUUGAUCGGGAGUAGGAAAGCUGACAUUGAGUCUUGCCAUGUCAUAGUUCUGCUAUUACUUUAGAACAUCAAAAUCUAUAUUAAGAAUUCAUUGCUAUAACCUCGAAUUAUUCUACUAGAUUGUUUCCAAUCUCACCACACUCCUGCUGUGUAACAUGAACACUUUUAUAUCUAGUAGGUGACUCAAUUAGAACCCCAAAGUGUGUUUCGAGAAAAAACAAAUGAUGGCUGGGAACUGAUUGCUUGCUAGUGAAGACGACAAAGUGUUGAUCAAUAAGCAAUAUUUUUUGGCCAUCUUGGUAACAAAAAUAAAUACAACAAAAACAAUGCCUUUCCAAACAAAUUGGGGUAUACCAGAACUGAAACCCAUAAGAUCUCGCAACCAACUCAUGGUUCUGCACAUGGAUAGCUAACUUCCACGUGCCCUUGUCCAAUGCUAAUUCUUUGGGAAUACUUUAGUCUUUCAGAUCCCUCUUUACGGACUCCUAGCGUGUCAAAUUUUGUCUACCCCGACUCUUGGCAUUAUCAUCAUGUUUUGUCCAUCCUCUAUGUACUGGAGCUUGCCCAAACCAUCUCAGACGAUGUUGGACAACCUUCUCUUCAAUCGGCGCAAAUCUAUCUUGUAUACCAUCAUUCGGGACCCAAUCGUUCCUUGUGUGGCCAGAAAUUCAUCUCAUCAUGCGCAUUUUUGCUACACUUAAUUAUUGAACAUGUUUCCUUUUAGUCAGCUAACACUCAGCGUCAUACAAUGUCGCAGGUCGAAUCGUUGUCCUAUGGAACCUGCCUUUUAGAUUUUAUGGCACUCUCUCGUCACAGAGAACGCAAGAAGUUUGGCGCCACUUCAUCCAUCGGGCUAUGAUUCGAUGGUUCAUGUCUUCAUCCAUAUCGCCAUUCUUCUGCAACAUUGACCCCAAAUAUUGAAAGGUGUAUUUCUGAGCUACCCCCUACCCAUCAAGGCAAACCUCCUCCUCUCUUGCCUAGUAGUACUAAAAUCGCACCUCAUAUACCCGAUUUUCGUUCUAUUAAGUCUAAAACAUUUCGUUUCCAAGGUUUGUCUCCAUAACUCUAACUUUCUAUUAACCCUCAUCUGACUAUCAUCAACUAGCACCAUAUCAUCUGCAAAGAGCAUACACCAUGGGAUAGCUCCUUGUAUAUUCCUUGUGACAUCAUUCUUCACUAAAACAAAAAGAUAAUUAAGGGUCAAACCUGACCCCUUGUGCAACCCUAUUUUAACCGUGAAGUCAUUAAUGUCGCCAUCACUUGUUCGAACACUUGUAACAAUAUUAUCCUACAUGUUCUUGAUGCGAGUAACAUAAUUUGUUGUCACUUUCUGUUCCUCAAAGGCCCACCACAUCACAAUCGGUCAUAUAUUACCGUAGACCUUGUCCAAGUUGAUGAACACCAUAUAUAGGUCCUAAUUUUGUUCCCUAAAUCUCUCCAUAAGUUGUUCUAGUUGGCGACAAUAAAAAAUCUGUAAUUAAUAUUUCAUAAGUAGUUCUAGUUGGCGACAAUAAAAAAUCUGUAAUUAAUAUUUCAUAAGUAGUUCUAGUUUCAUUCUGUCUAACUAGAAGGUUGAAAUAUGUUUCCUACUACUAAAUUUUCUACUAAAAUCAUCAACACAAAUUGUACAAUUUAUUUAGUUUGGCUUAUUAUUGUUUGUCCGUCAAUAUGUCAUAGAGCUUUCAGAACAAUAAAACAUAAUAUAUGUUGCAAGUAAAACAUCAACUCCAAAGAUUCUCUCACAUGCCAGAACCAUAUCCAGUCACUUGAAACACACAUAAGAAAAUGCUACUUAGUUCUGGGAUCCCAUUACAGAUAAAUUUUGAUACCAGCCACCUUAUGCAACUCAAUAUUUCCCCUUUUGCGUUCAUGGCAUGUGUUGUAUCCUCACUUGUACUAAUUAUCUUUCUUCUAUCAAAGGAAUGGCACACAAGAUUGCAUAUUUGCGGAAAAAAUGUAGGUGAUCCGCAACCCUGAUUUUUGUUUGUAUGAGCAGUAAUCCGUAGGAAUUUCUAUUGCCAUGCCUUCAACUUUUAACGUCCAGACUCUAGCUGCUUGGUGGGCUUGCCAAGGUCAAACUUGGUCACCUUUGUUAGAAAUAAUCUUGACUUUAAUUAGUGUUAGCAAUGUGUACCUGUUGUGAUUCGCUUGCAUUCAGGCCAAGGCGUGGCGGCGGCUUGCAAGUCUAAGUUGUACUAGUAUGGUCCACAUUAGUUGUUAGUACCCGACUAGGUUAAGUUUCCUAGCGCGAGUCAAGUUUGGAAUAUUAGGAUAUGUCGAUAAUGGGGCCCUCUUGUGUUUUCAUUUCCAUCGUUAUCUUCCCAGACAAAGCAUAACAUGCUCAAUGGGUUGCCGGUACAUGGGAACAAGAAAAAAGAACAAAAACGGUAAUGAGGAUGAUGUGGUAUAGUGAUCAAGAGUUGAUUCAUGGGGAUAUAUAUGAAGCUCACCUCGGUUUUUGUAAAGCAUUGCAAAGCAAAGGGAAUGACACAUGGAAACAAUAGGUUCACUCGAUAUUUAUUCGUGUGUGUAGGGGUCAAUAUGAUCAUCCAUGGUUCCACUAUUCUCACUAACCAGAAGGAGUUCGGGGUCAUUUCCACAAUUAACCAAACUUACGGUGUCGUACGCUUCAGGGUCACAGAUCUUUUGAGUACUACAAGUGUACGUUCUGAUGUCAUUUCUAUCGAAAAAGAUUUGGAAGAAAAGAAAAUGUUUUGAAGAGAGAACUGGGAAGGUUUCAUAAAAAAAUCCAAGAAAAGUGAAGUAUCAGAAAUGUUCUGGGCAACCCUGGAAAAACUCUGGAUGGUAUAGGAAGGGUCCAAAAGAUUCAUGAACCUAAUAGGAAAUUCUGGAGAGUGCAUCGGACUUGCUCCUUGGCAUGGGCCAAGUGGGACAACCCUAUUUGAGACGCAUGGCCCAUUAGUGGGGGCGCCACCCUUUGCCUUGGCAGCAAGCCCCUUUGGUAGAGUUCUGUAGAACUGUGUAGUGUGCUUGAGACCAAGAAUGCCCGUCCCUGCAUAUUAUUGAGUCCCCUCCAAGCAUGCCUUUUCCAGUCAGUCUCCCCUCAUACCGUGAUUUAGGGAGAUCUAUCUUCUUAAGGCCAGGAGUGAAGUCAACAUAAAAGCCAAUGACAUCUUCUGUUUGAUAGCCCAUGGAGAUGCUUCCUUCUGGCCUAGCACGGUUACGGACAUAUUUCUUUAGGACUCCCAUGAACCUCUCAAAGGGGAACAUAUUGUGUAGAAAUACGGGGCCCAGAAUGACAAUCUCAUCGACUAGAUGAACUACGACGUGCGUCAUGAUAUUGAAGAAGGAUGGUGGGAACACCAGGUCGAAACUGACAAGACAUUGCGCCAUAUCACUCCUUAACCUUGAUAUGAUUUCUGGAUCGAUCACCUUCUGAGAGAUUGCAUUGAGGAAUGCACAUAGCUUCACAAUGGCUAAUCGGACGUUUUCAGGUAGAAGCCCCCUCAAUGCAACUGGAAGCAGUUGCGUCAUAAUCACGUGGCAGUCAUGACACUUUAGGUUCUGGAACUUUUUCUCUGACAUAUUUAUUAUUCCCUUUAUAUUCGACGAGAAGCCAGUCGGGACCUUCAUACUGAGCAGGCAUUCAAAGAAGAUUUUCUUCUCUUCUUUGGUAAGAGCGUAGCUGGCAGGACCUUCAUACUGCUUUGGAGGCAUGCCGUCUUUUUCGUGCAAACGUUGCAGGUCCUCCCGUGCCUGAGGUGUAUCUUUUUUCUUCCCAUACACGCCCAAGAAGCCUAGCAGGUUCACGCAAAGGUUCUUCGCCACGUGCAUCGCGUCGAUUGAAGAGCGGACCUCUAGGUCUUUCCAGUAGGGUAGGUCCCAAAAUAUAGAUUUCUUCUUCCACAUGGGUGCGCGUCCCUCAGCGUCAUUCGGAACAGCUAGUCUGCCGGGACCCUUUCCAAAGAUUACGUGUAAAUCAUUGACCAUAGUAAGUACGUGAUCACCAGUACGCAUGGCGGGCUUCUUCUGGUGAUGUGCCUCGCCUUUGAAAUGCUUGCAUUUCUUUCGACAUUGAUGGUUGGUCGGAAGAAAUCGACGAUGGCCCAAGUACACAUUCUUCCUGCAUUUGUCCAGGUAUAUACUUUCGGUGUCAGCUAAACAGUGCCUUGCAUAGUGCUCUCCAAUUUUAGCAUUCAAAGUAGGAGUAGUUUUCCAAUUUGAGCAUUCAAUAAGCAAAACCAAAUCGUAAAAUAAAGUAGUAUUCAAAUUAGCAUGCAUUCAAUUAUAAGCAAAACUACAUCAUCUCUUGCGUCCGUACAUCGUCGAAUAUUAUCAAUAAUACACCUGGAAUACUAUCAUACAUAUAGCAUCACUAGUACAACUAGAACCGUAGCGCCCCGACGGGUAUCGGCGCGGGCGGUGAAUACCCAAUGAGAAGGAACCAUCACAGGAUCAUAGCUCCGGUGAGAUCCCUGGAGACCCUGCCAAGUAUUGUCGAACCUGCCCUCCGACGCAACCAUUUAGCGACGGACGUGCUCGUCCUCUUUGCUGACACCGUGACGUACCACCUCCACGGUGUCCGGAAGCCUCGGCACCUUCACUGGCCCACGCGACCGCCACCAAACAAGGAUCAGGUCAACGACGGGCUGGCUCCUCACCAACCUACGCCCCCCAAAAGGCAGAACCUCCCAAUACCAGCCCGGCGGAGCCCAGUCCCGGACAUGGCCCCUUUGACCUCUGAUACGUCCAUUUUGCAUCAUGCUUUUAUAUUGAUAUUUAUUGCAUUAUGGGCUGUUAUUACACAUUAUGUCACAAUACUUAUGCCUAUUCUCUCUUAUUUUACAAGGUUUACAUAAGGAGGGAGAAUGCCGGCAGUUGGAAUUCUGGGCUGGAAAAGGAGCAAAUAUUAGAGACCUAUUCAGCACAACUCCGAAAGUCCUAAAACUCCAUGAAAUUUAUUUUUGGAAAUAAUAAAAAAUACCGAGCGGAAGAAAUACGUUAGGGGGGCCUCCACCUGUCCACGAGGGUGGGGGCGCACCCUACCCCCUGGGUGCACCCCCUGCCUCAUGGGCCCCCUGUUGGCCCUCCGGUGGCCAUCUUCUACUAUAUGAAGUCUUUCGUCCGAAGAAAAAUCAGAAGCAACCUUUCGGGACGAGACUCCGCCGCCACGAGGUGGAACCUUGGCGGAACCAAUCUAGGGCUCCGGCAAAGCUGUUCUGUCGGGGACACUUCCCUCCGGGAGAGGGAAAUCAUCGCCAUCGUCAUCACCAACGCUCGUCUCAUCGGGAGAGGGCAAUCUCCAUCAACAUCUUCACCAACACCAUCUCCUCUCAAACCCUAGUUCAUCUCUUGUAUCCAAUUCUUGUCUCCAAGUCCGGGAUUGGUACAUGUAGGUUGUUAGUAGUGUUGAUUACUUCUUGUAGUUGAUGCUAGUUGGUUUAUUUGGUGGAAGAUCAUAUGUUCAGAUCCUUUAUGCAUAUUAAUACUCCUCUGAUUAUGAAACAUGAAUAUGCUUUGUGAGUAAUUACGUUUGUUCCUCAGGACAUGGGAGAAGUCUUGCUAUUAGUAGUCAUGUGAAUUUGGUAUUCGUUCGAUAUUUUGAUGAGAUGUAUGUUGUCUAUCCUCUAGUGGUGUUAUGUGAACGUCGACUACAUGACACUUGACCAUUAUUUGGGCCUAGGGGAAGGCAUUGGGAAGUAAUAAGUAGAUGAUGGGUUGCUAGAGUGACAGAAUCUUAAACCCUAGUUUAUGUGUUGCUUCGUAAGGGGCUGAUUUGGAUCCAUAUGUUUCAUGCUAUGGUUAUGUUUACCUUAAUACUUUUGUUGUACUUGCAGAUGCUUGCAAUAGAGGUUAAUCAUAAGUGGGAUGCUUGUUCAAGUAAGAAUAGCACCCAAGCACUGGUCCACCCACAUAUCAAAUUAUCAAAGUACUGAACGUGAAUCAUAUGAACGUGAGGAAAACUAGCUUGACGAUAAUUCCCAUGUGUCCUCGGGAGCACUUUUCUCUAUAUAAGAGUUUGUCCAGGCUUGUCCUUUGCUACAAAAAGGAUUGUGCCACCUUGCUGCACUUUAUUUACUUUUGUUACUUGUUGCUCGUUACAAAUUAUCCUAUCACAAAACUAUCUGUUACCUAUAAUCACUGGUGGAAAAAGGGCCUUUGGUCGCGGUUCGCAACUGCCAUUAGUCGCGGUUGCGCAACCGCGACAGACCGUGCGCGACUAAAGGCCCCCCCCUUUAGUCGCGGUUGCUUAAGAACCGCGACUAAAGGCCCGUCCACGUGGGCGCCAGGUGGCCGUCGGGGCGGAGGACCUUUAGUCGCGGUUCUUCUGGCCAACCGCGACUAAAGGCCGCCGCAGGUUUAGGGUUUUAGCCCCCCCCCUUAAACCUGUUUUCUGUUUAAUUUGUAUUGUUUUAUUUCUUUUGUGCUUUAUUUUAAUUUUGAAGGAGUUUCAUAUAUUCUACGGUACUACAUACAUGCAUAUGAAUGUACAAUUUCAAAUAAAUUUGAAAUUAGAACCAAAAAGAAUUCAAGAGGAAUAUACAAUAUAUAUUCAAUAUCAUCGGAUGACCAUAUACAAUUUUGAACAAGUUUCCAUACAUGAUUUAAUGCAUAUAAAGUUCUAUGUCCUCGUAAUAGUGUUCUCCUUUAGGAUGGAGGACUUCCCUGCUGAACCAUCCAGCUAGUUCCUCUUGAAGUGGUCGGAAGCGAGCUUCUGGACUAAGCAUCCACCGGAGGUUAUUCCUCUUAGCAUUGGUAUCACUCGGAACCCGCUCAGAGGUGUAUCUCCGGAUCAUCUCACAGACAUAGUAUCCACAUAGAUUGGUCUCCGGUGGCUGAAUAUCCCCAGCAUUCUUAGCCUUUAACAUUUUGAAUUCUAGCUCUUUUUUGAAUUCACCGACCUUUGUAUCUACGAACCGUCUCCAAACCCUACGAGGCAAAGAAAAUUAAAUGAACAAGAGAGUUAUUAAUUAGUUACUUGAUAUUAGGAAAUGAACGAAAUAGGCCGAUCGAUAUAGAGCGCAAAUGAAUGAAAAUAAUUACUUCUGCAGCAUUCUUCUCAUGCCGCCCCAAAGCUUUGGAUCCAUAUUCACAGAGUCGUGGACGAGACAUUCUGAGGUGUUAACUUUAAUUACUAGCAGAAUCCAGUGGAACCUGCGGACACGAUACAUGCACAGCACGUCAUGCAUAACUCAUCGAUUAGCCGGCCACAUACCAUGCAUGGAGUAAACAAAAGAGAAUGUGCUCAAGACAGAAACACUCACUCAAAAUGGUAAGGAAAUAGAAUAUCACUUUUGAGUUCCUGCUUUGUAAGAAACUGCCACAGGUCUGCCUCCACGUCGGCGGGGUAACGCUCCAACACAUGUCCAUUAACGAUGUGUGGGUCAAUGAACCCAACAUCAUGGAUGUUCCUUACUCUGCAUUCCUUAAUCUUCAUUCUGCAUGUAUAAUAGCGGACACAACAAUAUAAUUAGGACAUAUAUAUAGUGCAGGCAAUAUGAACGAGAUGGGGUAGAAAUUAAUAAAUCACUUACAGAACGUAGCAACUGAUGAUAGAUUUAUCGAGCUCGCGCAGAUUGAAAAGCUGGAACAAUUCACUCAGUUCAAUUUGUACAUAGUAAUGUUUGAAGUGAUGCUCAUGUCUAACUUCCGCAUAAAUAUAUUCUUUGGCGUUUUUAUUUUUUAUGUAACCCUUGUACCAUUUCAGCAGACCUUUCAUUUGUGGAGGUAGAUCAUUUUCCUCCGCAGGCUCGACGAGAGGCCCAUUCUUGACAUAUGUAAUUACUACCUCCUUCACUGGCGCCUCAUCAAGGCCUAACAGUUCACGAAGAGUAAUACCUAAGUUGGCCGCUUGUUCUCUGGCACUCGUUACAGUCAAUCCCUGUGCUGCCGCAGCUUGUAUGAUCUCGGGGUCAUCCGGACAGAAGGCUUCCACUAUAAGCGGGGCAAUCGAUUGUUUACUUUGUUCCCCGAGCUGGGCAACUUGUUUCCCGCUUUUUUUACUUUCGGCCUUCUCCCGCUCUUUGUUCUCCUUGAACAUGAGUGCCUGCCUGCGAAGUUCACGUGCAUAGUCGUUAGGCAGAUUCUUCGCGGCUUGAGACGGUGUGCUCAAAAAUGACUUAGCCCACUUCUUUUGCUCAUCAGAAAAUACUGGCUUGGGCUCGGGCUCUCUUUUCUUCUUGCAGUCCGCCUUCCAUUUCUCCAAAUCAGCAGCCGCGGCCGCGUCGACUUCCUCGGCACUACGUUCCCAAGGCCUUGUGGGGAGAGGCUUCAGUGAUGGCUCCGGUACCUUUGUGGUCUUAGGUACAUAAGGGUCCGGGUUAAUAAUCCAGGACUGCUUCUGCUUCUUUGCCGGAGGUGGAUUGGGGGGCGGCGUCUGAUCACCCGCCGGACGAGGACUGCGGGGCGGCGGCUGAUCACCCGCCGGACGUUGUGGACUGGGGGGCGGCGUCGGCUGACGUGACGGAGGUGUAGGUGAACCGCCACCACCACCACCACCACCACCACCACCACCACCACCGCCACCGCCACCACCACCACCGUAGGGGGGUAGACUUGUUGUCCUUGGCGCCUCGCCUGGAAACUUGAUAAACUUCUUUUGCCAUAGAAUGAAAUGGCGCUUGACAUCUCCAAGUCUUUUCUCCCCUUCAGGUGUAGCAAUGUCAAUCUCCAGGUCCUCAAACCCUUGGACUAUGUCCUCCACCGUGACACGAGCAUAGCCAUCUUGAAUGGGGUUGUUGUGGUGGAGUGCUCCAGGUAAACAUGGUAAAGCACUGCCGAUGGCUACCUUCAUGGACAUGUUCCCGAUAGGAUAAUACAGAUGACAUUCUUUCAUCUCCUUUAUAUCGUCCACGGGGUAGCGAGGAUGCUCCGGUGAAGUAAUUUCGACCACCAGAGGCUCCGGUGCAGUAAUUUGGACCACCAGAGGCUCCGGUGCAGUAAUUUCGAUCGUCGGUGCAUCUGCACCAGCCGGUGGGGCCUCCGUGGAAGCCACGCUGCUUCUUCGCUGCUGGCUUCCGAGAUCCGCUGGAUGAUCUUCAUGCUGCACCCGAGCUGCAUCUCUUUCGGCUACUAGUACACUCAUGGUUUUCUUCAUCACAUCCAUUUCCGAUGCCAACCGCGCCACAACAUCUGCUUCCCGAUCCAUCUUUCUCUUACGGCUUCUGUAACCGUACGGGUCAUCGUUCUGGGGGAACCCUAUUUUCCACGGAAUGUGCCCCAUGCCUCGUACACGUCCUCCGUGUUCAGGAUUCCCGAGGGCUUUUGUCAGCGCGUCGUUCUCUCUGUUGAACUUGAUCUUCCCCUGUUGAGCAUCCCUCAUUGCGUUAAUAAGGGCUUGGGUGGGUUUAAUUAAUUUGCCCCGGUAAACACACUCCCCUGUCUCCGGGUUCAGCGUUCCCCCAUGCCCGUACCACCAGCUUUUGGCCCUUGGGUCCCAUCCCUCUGUACCUGGACGGAUUCCUCGCGCCCUCAGCUCGUUCUCCAUCUUCUCCCACCUAGGCUCCCAAAGGCGAUACCCUCCUGGCCCCAUAACAUGAUUGUACUCCUUCUUAGCCGCAUUUUCCUUAUUUUUUUCGAUAUUUGAAUGAACUGCUCCGAUUUCUUUUGCUUCACAAAUUCUGGCCAAUCAUCUUUCAGUUUCUCAUAUUGUCCUUUGAAAUCCGGAGUCUUGUUCUGCUUGACAAAGUCAUGGGCUAGAUUUUGCUUGAAUUUCCGGAAUGCGUCGGCCAUCUUAUGAAGAGCGAACUGUUUGACUAGCCUCCUCCUCUCCUUGUUUUCCUCAAUCUUGUUACCCUCCUCAUCGAAUUUGUUGUAUUCCGGAGGUAGAACGAAAUGUUCCAUAAGCUUCUUGAAGCAAUCUUUUUUUGUUCUCUUAUCGACAAAAGUGAAACCAUCAAUUCGUGCCUUCUUUGGCUCAUUCCACUCCUGGACGGUGAUCGAGACGUUGUCUCUAACAAUGGCUCCGCAUUGGCUGACAAACUUGGUGGUGUUCUUGCGGGGCUCCAGCGGCCUGCCGGUUGCACUGUCGACAACCUCGAUGGUGCAUGUUUCUCCUUGUUUCAUCGUCUUGGUUGCGCCACGCUUUGACGACGUACUUGAUUGUUUCGACGAUCCGGCCGAGGGCUAAAAUAAGAAAGAGUCGCGCGCGUUAGUACACACAUAUUUAUUCAAAUCAGUUAGUUUGUAUCACCAGAGGCUCAAUGUAUAUAUAUACCUCGGCGCCGGAGGUGGUUGCUACUUCCAUUUGAAGAUCGUCGUUUAUCGACGUUUGUUCGGCAUCAUCUUGCUGACGGCGCCCUUCAUCUUCACCGUCAAGGUUCAGAUAAGAAGAGAUAUCAUCUUCUUCUUCUCCGGUCGGCACAUAUAGAAUAUCGCCGUUUAUGAUGCCGAACAUAUGUGCUUCACCGUCCGGAUCAUAGUUGUCCAUAAUCGGGUCAGCUCUAUCGUCCGCCAUUAUGUCAGUCCUGAAAACAUGUAGUAAAAACAAAUUCAUUAAGUGAAGAAGGGGGGCGGUGGCGGUGGCGGUGGCGAAAGGGCGGUGGCGAAAGGAGGGGGCGAUGAAGGGGUGGGAGAGGGUGUCGCGGUAGAGCGCGAGAGGGGAGGCGAGGACAACACAUUUAUAACCCUCGCCGUCCCCUCUCGAUCCCUAAAAAAACACCGCGCGCAUCGCCGCCCCCCUCGCCGCCCCUCUCCGUUUAAAAAUUAUUCGUGUAUUUCAAAAAAUUGAUUUUAUUAGACACAAAAAAUUCUUUCACGUAUUUUCACGUAUUUAAUUUUAAAAAUUCUUUCUUUUUUUCUUCUUCCUUUUUUUUCUUCUUCCUUUUUUUCUUCUGUUGUUUUCUUCCUUUUUCUUUUUUUUCUUCCUUUUUCCUUUUUCAUUAAAUGUUUUCUCAACCAACUGCCGAAAGUCUCCAUGUGGGCCUUCCUAAUCCAGGAUUCAGGCUUCCCCGGGUUGUCCGAGCGUAAAAUAUUCUUGUGUUUCUCAAAGUACGGAGCCACCAAGCUGGAAUUGGUCAGUACAGUGUGGUGUGCUUCAGUCAGAGAAUGGCCGUCCAUACAUAUCGUUGAUUUCCUUCCGAUCGUGCCUUUUCCACUUAGUCUCCCCUCGUGCCGCGAUCGAGGAAGACCAAUCGGCUUAAGGUCAGGAACAAAGUCAACACAAAACUCAAUUACCUCCUCAUUUCCAUAGCCCUUGGCGAUGCUUCCUUCUGGCCUAGCACGGUUACAAACAUAUUUCUUUAAUACUCCCAUGAACCUCUCGAAGGGGAACAUAUUGUGUAGAAAUACAGGACCGAGAACGAAAAUCUCUUCGACUAGGUGAACCAGGAGAUGCGUCAUAAUAUUGAAGAAGGAUGGCGGGAACACCAACUCGAAACUGACAAGGCAUUGGAUCACAUCGUUCUGUAACCGUGGUAGAACUUCUGGAUUGAUUACCUUCUGAGAGAUUGCAUUGAGGAAUGCACAUAGCUUCACAAUGGCUACUCGAACAUUUUCCGGCAGGAGCCCCCUCAAAGCAAUCGGAAGCAAUUGCGUCAUAAUCACGUGGCAGUCGUGAGACUUCAGGUUUUGGAACUUUUUCUCCGCCAUGUUUAUUAUUCCCUUUAUAUUGGACGAGAAUCCAGACGGGACCUUCAUACUGCUCAGGCAUUCAAAAAAGAUGACCUUCUCUUCUUUGGUCAGAGCGUAGCUGGCACGACCUUGAAACCAUUCCGGAUGCCGGUCAUCAGGGUCUUUCAAAUGUUGCUGGUCCUGCCGUGCUUCCUUUGUAUCAUUUGUCUUCCCAUACACGCCCAAGAAGCUUAGGAGGUUCACGCAAAUAUUCUUCGUAACGUGCAUCACGUCGAUUGCAGAGCGGACAUCUAGGACUUUCCAAUAUUCUAGCUCCCAGAAUAUAGAUUUCUUCUUCCACAUGGCUGCGUGCCCGUCAGCUCCCUUCGGAACUGAUUGUCCGCCAGGACCCUUUCCAAAGAUGACUUUCAAAUCCUUGACCAUAUCAAAUACCUCAGCACCAGUGCGUUCCGCAGGCUUCGGCCGGUGAUCUGCCUUGCCGUUGUAAUGCUUGCCUUUCUUUCUUACUGGAUGAAUUUUCGGAAGAAAUCGACGACGCCCAAGGUACACGUUCUUCUUACAAUUUGGCAAAUGUACACUUUCAGUCUCAUGUAAGCAGUGCGUGCAUGCAUUGUAUCCCUUAUUUGACAGUCCCGAAAGGUUACUAAGAGCAGGCCAAUCGUUGAUGGUUACGAAAAGCAACACUCGUAGGUCAAAUUCCUCUUGUUUGUGCUCAUCCCACACACGGACACCACCCCACAGCUGUAAAAGUUCAUCAACUAAUGGCCUUAGGUACACAUCGAUGUCGUUGCCGGGUUGCUUCGGACCUUGGAUGAGCACUGGCAUCAUAAUGAACUUCCGCUUCAUGCACAACCAAGGAGGAAGGUUGUAGAUGCAUAGAGUCACGGGCCAGGUGCUAUGGCUGGAGCUCUGCUCGCCAAAAGGAUUCAUGCCAUCCGUACUUAGAGCAAAUCUUAUGUUCCUUGCGUCAGCUGCAAAAUCUUUGAACCAUCUGUCGAUCUUUCUCCAUUGCGUUCCAUCUGCGGUGUGUCUCAACUCCCCGUCCGACUUACGGUCCUCUUUGUGCCAUCGCAACAACUUGGCAUGCUCUUUGUUCCUGAACAAACGUUUCAACCGUGGUAUUAUAGGAGCAUACCACAUCACCUUGGCGGGAACCCUCUUCCUGGGUUUCUGGCCCUCAACAUCGUCACCAGGGUCAUCGCCUCUGAUCUUAUAACGCAAUGCAGUGCAUACCGGGCAUUCAUUCAAAUUCUCGUAUUCACCGCGGUAGAGGAUGCAGUCGUUGAUGCAUGCAUGUAUCUUCAGAACCUCUAAACCUAGAGGGCAGACAACCUUGUUUGCUUCGUACGUACUGGCGGGCAACUCGUUAUCCUUUGGAAACAUAUUCUUCAACAUUUUCAGCAAGUUUUCAAAUGCCGAGUCAGCUACACCUGCCUCUGCCUUCCAUUUCAGCAAAUCCAGUGUGCAGCCCAGCUUUUUCAGACCAUCAUCGCAUCCGGGGUACAGCGCCUUUCUGUGAUCCUCUAACAUGCGAUCCAAAUUCUCCCUCUCCUUUUCAGUUUCGCAGCGUCUCCGUGCAUCAGCAAUGGUCCGACCAAGAUCAUCAACGGGAUCAUCACGUGCCUCUUCUUCACCUUCCCCUUCACCUUCAGCAUCCUCCAUGAAAGUAUCACCGAAAUGAGCAAGAUAGCUUUCAUCGAUGAAAUCAUCCCCUUCUUCAUCUUCUUCCAUUAUAACCCCUCUUUCUCCAUGCUUGGUCCAACAAUUAUAGCUUGGCAUGAAA